RNAcentral lists this ribosomal RNA (603 nucleotides) under Aspergillus niger. RNAcentral's name for it is "eukaryotic LSU rRNA". The stretch from base 220 to 373 matches the Rfam family "5.8S ribosomal RNA". RNAcentral also lists the same sequence under 1 other name. Lineage: Eukaryota; Fungi; Ascomycota; Eurotiomycetes; Eurotiales; Aspergillaceae. The record is from RNAcentral.
CUUCCGUAGGGUGAACCUGCGGAAGGAUCAUUACCGAGUGCGGGUCCUUUGGGCCCAACCUCCCAUCCGUGUCUAUUGUACCCUGUUGCUUCGGCGGGCCCGCCGCUUGUCGGCCGCCGGGGGGGCGCCUCUGCCCCCCGGGCCCGUGCCCGCCGGAGACCCCAACACGAACACUGUCUGAAAGCGUGCAGUCUGAGUUGAUUGAAUGCAAUCAGUUAAAACUUUCAACAAUGGAUCUCUUGGUUCCGGCAUCGAUGAAGAACGCAGCGAAAUGCGAUAACUAAUGUGAAUUGCAGAAUUCAGUGAAUCAUCGAGUCUUUGAACGCACAUUGCGCCCCCUGGUAUUCCGGGGGGCAUGCCUGUCCGAGCGUCAUUGCUGCCCUCAAGCCCGGCUUGUGUGUUGGGUCGCCGUCCCCCUCUCCGGGGGGACGGGCCCGAAAGGCAGCGGCGGCACCGCGUCCGAUCCUCGAGCGUAUGGGGCUUUGUCACAUGCUCUGUAGGAUUGGCCGGCGCCUGCCGACGUUUUCCAACCAUUCUUUCCAGGUUGACCUCGGAUCAGGUAGGGAUACCCGCUGAACUUAAGCAUAUCAAUAAGCGGAGGAA